GAUGAAGAACGCAGCGAAAUGCGAUAAGUAAUGUGAAUUGCAGAAUUCAGUGAAUCAUCGAAUCUUUGAACGCACAUUGCGCCCCCUGGUAUUCCGGGAGGCAUGCCUGUUCGAGCGUCAUUUCACCACUCAAGCCUCGCUUGGUAUUGGGCAACGCGGUCCGCCGCGUGCCUCAAAUCGACCGGCUGGGUCUUCUGUCCCCUAAGCGUUGUGGAAACUAUUCGCUAAAGGGUGUUCGGGAGGCUACGCCGUAAAACAACCCCAUUUCUAAGGUUGACCUCGGAUCAGGUAGGGAUACCCGCUGAACUUAAGCAUAUCAAUAAGCGGAGGA
RNAcentral lists this unclassified non-coding RNA (331 nucleotides) under soil metagenome. Its description in RNAcentral is "partial contains 5.8S ribosomal RNA, internal transcribed spacer 2, and large subunit ribosomal RNA". The stretch from base 1 to 120 matches the Rfam family "5.8S ribosomal RNA", at positions 35 to 154 of the family's 154-position model. The record is from RNAcentral.